CAGCAGCCGCGGUAAUACAGAGGGUGCGAGCGUUAAUCGGAUUUACUGGGCGUAAAGCGUGCGUAGGCGGCUUCUUAAGCCGGAUGUGAAAUCCCUGAGCUUAACUUAGGAAUUGCAUUCGAUACUGGGAAGCUAGAGUAUGGGAGAGGAUGGUAGAAUUCCAGGUGUAGCGGUGAAAUGCGUAGAGAUCUGGAGGAAUACCGAUGGCGAAGGCAGCCAUCUGGCCUAAUACUGACGCUGAGGUACGAAAGCAUGGGGAGCAAACAGGAUUAGAUACCCCGGUAGUCCCUGUCUCUUAUAC
RNAcentral lists this ribosomal RNA (301 nucleotides) under uncultured bacterium. Its description in RNAcentral is "partial 16S ribosomal RNA". It matches the Rfam family "Bacterial small subunit ribosomal RNA", at positions 509 to 807 of the family's 1533-position model. The record is from RNAcentral.